AUCGAACGCUGGCGGCAGGCCUAACACAUGCAAGUCGAACGAUUGGCGGACGGGUGAGUAAUGUCUGGGACACUGCCCGAUGGAGGGGGAUAACUACUGGAAACGGUAGCUAAUACCGCAUACCAUCACAUGUGCCUAGAUGGGAUUUGUUUGUGGGUGGGGUAACGGCUCACCAAGGCGACGACCCCUAGCCGGUCUGCGAGGAUGACCAGCCAAAUUGGAACUGGGACACGGUCAGAACUCCUAGGGAGGGAGGAAGUGGGGAAUAUUGCAAAAUGGGCGCAAGCCUGAUGAGGCCAGCCCGCGUGGAGGAAGAAGGCCUUCGGGUUGUAAAGUACUUUCAGCGGGGAGGCGUUACCCGCAGAAAAAGCAACGGCUAACUCCGUGCCAGCAGCCGCGGUAAUAC
RNAcentral lists this ribosomal RNA (406 nucleotides) under uncultured bacterium. RNAcentral describes it as "partial 16S ribosomal RNA". It matches the Rfam family "Bacterial small subunit ribosomal RNA", at positions 30 to 526 of the family's 1533-position model. The record is from RNAcentral.